UGAGUACGAGCUGCUACGGCAGCGAAGUGGGUGAUGUCAAGCUUCCAAGAAAAGCCCUAUACCCGUUAAGGCAUGAUGGCCUGUACCCGAAACCGACACAGGUGGGGUGGUAGAGAAUACCGAGGGGCGCGAGGUAACUCUCUCUAAGGAACUCGGCAAAAUGGCCCCGUAACUUCGGGAGAAGGGGUGCCACCGCAAGGUGGUCGCAGUGAAGAGGCCCAGGCGACUGUUUACCAAAAACACAGGUCUCCGCUAAGUCGCAAGACGAUGUAUGGGGGCUGACGCCUGCCCAGUGCCGGAAGGUUAAGGAAGCUGGUCAGCGCAAGCGAAGCUGGCGACUGAAGCCCCGGUGAACGGCGGCCGUAACUAUAACGGUCCUAAGGUAGCGAAAUUCCUUGUCGGGUAAGUUCCGACCCGCACGAAAGGCGUAACGAUCUGGGCGCUGUCUCGGAGAGAGGCUCGGCGAAAUAGAAUUGUCUGUGAAGAUGCGGACUACGUGCACCCGGACAGAAAGACCCUAUGAAGCUUUACUGUAGCUUGGUAUUGUGCCCGGGCUCUGAAUGCGCAGGAUAGGUGGGAGGCUUUGAUCCAUUGCUUGUGGGUGAUGGUGAGCCACUGGUGAGAUACCACUCUUUCAGAGCUAGGGUUCUAACGGUCACCCGUUAUCCGGGGACCGGACAGUAUCAGGUGGGCAGUUUGACUGGGGCGGUCGCCUCCUAAAAGGUAACGGAGGCGCGCAAAGGUUCCCUCAGGCUGGUUGGAAAUCAGCCGACGAGUGUAAAGGCAGAAGGGAGCUUGACUGUGAGACCUACAAGUCGAACAGGGACGAAAGUCGGCCUUAGUGAUCCGACGGUUCUGAGUGGAAGGGCCGUCGCUCAACGGAUAAAAGUUACUCUAGGAUAACAGGCUGAUCUCCCCCAAGAGUUCACAUCGACGGGGAGGUUUGGCACCUCGAUGUCGGCUCAUCGCAACCUGGGGCUGAAGUCGGUCCCAAGGGUUGGGCUGUUCGCCCAUUAAAGCGGUACGCGAGCUGGGUUCAGAACUCGUGAGACAGUUCGGUCCAUAUCCGGUGCACGCGCAGGAACAUUGAGAGGAUUUCUCCCUAGUACGAGAGGACCGGGAGGAACUCACCUCUGGUGUACCAGUUAUCGUGCCAACGGUAAACGCUGGGUAGCCAUGUGCGGAGUGGAUAACCGCUGAAAGCAUCUAAGUGGGAAGCCCACCUCAAGAUGAGUGUUCCCAUGGCAUAAGCCAGUAAGGUCACGGGAAGAACACCCGUUGAUAGGCUCUACGUGGAAGCGUGGCAACACGUGAAGCGGAGGAGUACUAAUAGACCGAGGGCUUGACC
Molecule: ribosomal RNA, 1348 nt
Filed under: metagenome
Description: bacterial LSU rRNA
Rfam family: Bacterial large subunit ribosomal RNA
Source: RNAcentral